Molecule: ribosomal RNA, 256 nt
Filed under: uncultured bacterium
Lineage: Bacteria
Description: partial 16S ribosomal RNA
Rfam family: Bacterial small subunit ribosomal RNA
Source: RNAcentral
UACGGGGGGGGCAAGCGUUGUUGCGGAAUUACUGGGCGUAAAGCGCGCGCAGGCGGCUAUCCAAGUCAGUGGUGAAAGCCCGGAGCUCAACUCCAGAACUGCCUUUGAUACUGAAGAUCUUGAGUUCGGGGAGGAGGUGAGUGGAACUGCGAGUGUAGAGGUGAAAUUCGUAGAUAUUCGCAAGAACACCAGUGGCGAAGGCGGCUCACUGGCCCGAUACUGACGCUGAUGCACGAAAGCGUGGGGAGCAAACAGG